Molecule: non-coding RNA, 769 nt
Filed under: Tagiades japetus
Lineage: Eukaryota; Metazoa; Arthropoda; Insecta; Lepidoptera; Hesperiidae
Source: RNAcentral
AGAUAAAUAUUUAUGAUUUUAGAAAUUUAUUUAUAAUUUAUUUUACAUGUAAAUUUUAGUAUGAAUUUUUAAUUAUUUUAAUAAUAUAAUUAAUAUUGCAGUAAUUAAAAUUAAAAAUUUAAGAAAUUAAGAUUUAGUAAUAUUAAAAUUAUUAACAAAUUUUGUGCCAGCAGUUGCGGUUAUACAAAAAAUGAAAUAAAUUUUUUUAAUGAUAAUAAAAAAUUUUUAAUUAAAUAAAAUAUUGAAUUAUUAGGUGAAAUUUUAAUUUAAUUAAAAUUUAAAUUAAGGUUUUGAUUUAAGAAAUUUUAUUAAUAGACUAGGAUUAGAUACCCUAUUAUUAUAAAUUUUAUUUAAACAUUAAAAUAUUAAAUAAUUAAUUAUUGAAACUUAAAUAAUUUGGCGGUAUUUUAGUUCAUUUAGAGGAAUCUGUUUAAUAAUUGAUAAUCCACGAAUAAAUUUACUUAAUUUAUUAUUUUGUAUAUCGUUGUUAAAAAAAUAUUUUUAAAUAAUAAUAAUAUUUUAAAAUUAAUAAUAAAAAUUAAUUCAGAUCAAGAUGCAGAUUAUAAUUAAGAAUAUAAUGGAUUACAAUAAAUUUAUUUAAAUGGAUAUUAUUUUGAAAAAAUUAAUUAAAGGUGGAUUUAAAUGUAAUUUUAUUUAUUUUAGUAAAAUGAUUAAAAAUUAAAAUAUGUACAUAUUGCCCGUCGCUUUCAUUUAGAAAUUGGAAUAAGUCGUAACAAAGUAGAGGUACUGGAAAGUGUUUCUAGAAAGA